Molecule: long non-coding RNA, 776 nt
Organism: Podarcis raffonei (Aeolian wall lizard)
Lineage: Eukaryota; Metazoa; Chordata; Lepidosauria; Squamata; Lacertidae
Exons: 2
Source: RefSeq, a predicted model, not a curated record
UUGAGAGGCAGCCCUCACUUUAGGAGGCUCCAGUGUCCAUGGAUGGGGAUGUAGACGACGUCUUGCCAAGACUUUGGUUCUUCAGUCUCCUAGAACUGCAGAGUUGGAAGGCACUUCAAGGAUCAUCUAGUCCAACCCCCUACAAUGCAAGAAUUGCACCCCUGACAGAUGGCCAUCCAACCUCUACUUAAAAACCUCCAAGGAAGCACAACUGGAAAAGGACUGUAGAAGAUUAUUCCAACAUACGAUUACAGCAGCGAGGUUGUUAUAUGCACAAACAUGGCAAGAUGGAGCUCUACCUACUGUAUAGGAAUGGUUGAGAAAAUUAUUGGACUUAGCUGAGAUGGCAAAGCUAAUGUGUUUAAUUAGAGAAAAAUAAUUAUUGACAUUUACUAAGGUUUGGAAUCUCCUUAUGGAUUUUUUGCAUGAAAGAGAAAAUGAACUUGUGACAUCUGGAUUUGAAGAUUGAAAAAAUCACUGGCUUGUAGAUAAUAAAAUAGUUGGAGGUUAAUGAGUGGAUACUGUAUUUAGCUGCAGGACAGAGAACCAGAAGUCUUUUAAUCUUUUUUUUCUCUUCCAUUUUCUUUCUUUUUUCUCUUCUGUUUCUUUCCCCCUUUCUUCUUUUUGCUACUGUUCCUUUUUUUAAAAGAUUAGAUUGUAAAAGCACCUUUAUUCUGCUGUAUCAUUAAAAGAUACUUCGUAUUCGGUAUGAACUUUUGUAUAUCUUUGGACAAAUGAAAAUAUUUCUUAAAAUACAAACAAACAAAUAAACAGAC